This 465-nucleotide ribosomal RNA is filed under the name uncultured bacterium. RNAcentral describes it as "partial 16S ribosomal RNA". It matches the Rfam family "Bacterial small subunit ribosomal RNA", at positions 28 to 507 of the family's 1533-position model. The record is from RNAcentral.
GACGAACGCUGGCGGCGUGCUUAACACAUGCAAGUCGUACGGUAAGGCCCUUUCGGGGGUACACGAGUGGCGUACGGGUGAGUAACACGUGCGUAACCUGCCCACAACUUUGGGAUAACGCUAGGAAACUGGUGCUAAUACUGGAUAUGUGCUCCUGCUGCAUGGUGGGGGUUGGAAAGCUCCGGCGGUUGUGGAUGGACUCGCGGCCUAUCAGCUUGUUGGUGGGGUAGUGGCCUACCAAGGCGGCGACGGGUAGCCGGCCUGGGAGGGUGACCGGCCACAUUGGGACUGGGAUACGGCCCAGACUCCUACGGGAGGCAGCAGUGGGGAAUAGUGCACAAUGGGCGCAAGCCUGAUGCAGCAACGCCGCGUGCGGGAUGACGGCCUUCGGGUUGUAAACCGCUUUCAGCAGGGACGAAGCUUUUUGUGACGGUACCUGCAGAAGAAGCACCGGCUAACUACGUG